UACGGGGGGGGCAAGCGUUGUUCGGAAUUACUGGGCGUAAAGGGCUCGUAGGCGGCCAACUAAGUCAGACGUGAAAUCCCUCGGCUUAACCGGGGAACGGCGUCUGAUACUGGAUGGCUUGAAUCCGGGAGAGGGAUGCGGAAUUCCAGGUGUAGCGGUGAAAUGCGUAGAUAUCUGGAGGAACACCGGUGGCGAAGGCGGCAUCCUGGACCGGCAUUGACGCUGAGGCGCGAAAGCCAGGGGAGCGAACAGG
RNAcentral lists this ribosomal RNA (253 nucleotides) under uncultured bacterium. RNAcentral's name for it is "partial 16S ribosomal RNA". It matches the Rfam family "Bacterial small subunit ribosomal RNA", at positions 524 to 776 of the family's 1533-position model. The record is from RNAcentral.